UCUCAUGAAAAAAAUAUGGUGGAAGUGAUGCUGUGUGACUUUUGAGACUAUGUCAUAAUAGGAAUUGUGGCCUUCUCCUUGUUCUCUCUCUUGGAUCACUAGUUCUUGAGCCGUUAGGAUAUUCAACCAGCCUCACAGAAAGGUCCAUAUGGCAAGGGACUAAGCCUACCUGCCAGUAGUCAGCAAGGAGCUGAACUGAGGCAUCCUGCCAAUAGCCAUGUGAAUGAGCCAACUUGGAAGCAGAUCCUCUAGUUCCAGUCAAGCCUUCAGAUGACUGCAACUCUGAUUAGCAUCUUGACUACAACCUCAUGAGAGGUGCUGAGGCAGAAUCAUGCAGCUAAGCAACCCUCAAAUUCCUGACCCAGAAAAACUAUGAGAACAGAAGUGGCCACCUGUGGUGUUGCUUGGUGAACUGAUUGUCCAGAUCUCAGCCAGCUGACUAGAAAGACUGAAAAGGAAGCAGUCUUUGGUUAAAGAAAGGAUUCCUAAAUUUCUGAAGUUGGACUCUGCUGAUUGUAGGAAAAGAUUGGAUGAUAUCAGAAACCAAAGAAGCUUCUAAAGAGUGAGAAGAAGACAUCUAUACUAUUUUCUAGAGGAAUAAGGAAUGAAAUACCACAGUGAGGAAACAAUUUACAUUGGAGAUUGUGUAUGUAUGUUUAAGUUACUGAAUGUCUAUGAAAUAAA
Molecule: long non-coding RNA, 684 nt
Organism: Neofelis nebulosa (Clouded leopard)
Lineage: Eukaryota; Metazoa; Chordata; Mammalia; Carnivora; Felidae
Exons: 4
Source: RefSeq, a predicted model, not a curated record